RNAcentral lists this ribosomal RNA (801 nucleotides) under Amnibacterium sp. RNAcentral's name for it is "bacterial SSU rRNA". It matches the Rfam family "Bacterial small subunit ribosomal RNA", at positions 56 to 867 of the family's 1533-position model. Lineage: Bacteria; Bacillati; Actinomycetota; Actinomycetes; Micrococcales; Microbacteriaceae. The record is from RNAcentral.
UGCAGUCGAACGGUGAUGCGGAGCUUGCUCCGCGGAUCAGUGGCGAACGGGUGAGUAACACGUGAGUAACCUGCCCUUGACUCUGGGAUAAGCGUUGGAAACGACGUCUAAUACCGGAUACGACCUACGAAGGCAUCUUCUGUGGGUGGAAAGAAUUUCGGUUGGGGAUGGACUCGCGGCCUAUCAGCUUGUUGGUGAGGUAAUGGCCCACCAAGGCGACGACGGGUAGCCGGCCUGAGAGGGUGACCGGCCACACUGGGACUGAGACACGGCCCAGACUCCUACGGGAGGCAGCAGUGGGGAAUAUUGCACAAUGGGCGCAAGCCUGAUGCAGCAACGCCGCGUGAGGGAUGACGGCCUUCGGGUUGUAAACCUCUUUUAGCAGGGAAGAAGCGAAAGUGACGGUACCUGCAGAAAAAGCACCGGCUAACUACGUGCCAGCAGCCGCGGUAAUACGUAGGGUGCAAGCGUUGUCCGGAAUUAUUGGGCGUAAAGAGCUCGUAGGCGGUUUGUCGCGUCUGCUGUGAAAACGCGAGGCUCAACCUCGCGCCUGCAGUGGGUACGGGCAGACUAGAGUGCGGUAGGGGAGAUUGGAAUUCCUGGUGUAGCGGUGGAAUGCGCAGAUAUCAGGAGGAACACCGAUGGCGAAGGCAGAUCUCUGGGCCGUUACUGACGCUGAGGAGCGAAAGCGUGGGGGAGCGAACAGGAUUAGAUACCCUGGUAGUCCACGCCGUAAACGUUGGGGAACUAGAUGUGGGGUCCAUUCCACGGAUUCCGUGUCGCAGCUAACGCAUUAAGUCC